This 349-nucleotide ribosomal RNA is filed under the name Vibrio vulnificus. RNAcentral describes it as "bacterial SSU rRNA". It matches the Rfam family "Bacterial small subunit ribosomal RNA", at positions 1170 to 1518 of the family's 1533-position model. Lineage: Bacteria; Pseudomonadati; Pseudomonadota; Gammaproteobacteria; Vibrionales; Vibrionaceae. The record is from RNAcentral.
AAGGUGGGGACGACGUCAAGUCAUCAUGGCCCUUACGAGUAGGGCUACACACGUGCUACAAUGGCGCAUACAGAGGGCGGCCAACUUGCGAAAGUGAGCGAAUCCCAAAAAGUGCGUCGUAGUCCGGAUUGGAGUCUGCAACUCGACUCCAUGAAGUCGGAAUCGCUAGUAAUCGUGGAUCAGAAUGCCACGGUGAAUACGUUCCCGGGCCUUGUACACACCGCCCGUCACACCAUGGGAGUGGGCUGCAAAAGAAGUGGGUAGUUUAACCUUCGGGAGGACGCUCACCACUUUGUGGUUCAUGACUGGGGUGAAGUCGUAACAAGGUAGCGCUAGGGGAACCUGGCGC